CGAGCCUGCUUUUAUCAUCCUAUACACCUGUGAACUAUUUGCCUUCGGGCACCAAACAAACAUAAUGUAAUGAAUGUAAUCUACUAUAAUAAAUACAACUUUCAACAACGGAUCUCUUGGCUCUCACAUCGAUGAAGAACGCAGCGAAAUGCGAUAAGUAAUGUGAAUUGCAGAAUUCAGUGAAUCAUCGAAUCUUUGAACGCAAAUUGCGCCCUUUGGUAUUCCGAAGGGCAUGCCUGUUUGAGUGUCUUAUAAACCUCACCCCUAAUGUUUUAUUACAAUAGGUUGGUGCUUUGGGUGUUGCCAUUUACCUGGCUCGCCUUAAAUGUCUAAGUGGAAUGCGUAAUAAGUUCUCGCAACCCUCCACUCUAAUACAAUUUAUAUUCUGACCUCAAAUCAGGUAGGACUACCCGCUGAACUUAAGCAUAUCAAUAAGCGGAGG
This 442-nucleotide ribosomal RNA is filed under the name uncultured Tremellales. RNAcentral describes it as "eukaryotic LSU rRNA". The stretch from base 97 to 250 matches the Rfam family "5.8S ribosomal RNA". Lineage: Eukaryota; Fungi; Basidiomycota; Tremellomycetes; Tremellales. The record is from RNAcentral.